UCCAUGCCUUAAACGAUGCAUACUAGAAGUAGGAGGGCUCAACCCCCCCUGUUUCGAAGCUAACGCAUUAAGUAUGCCGCCUGGGGAGUACGCUCGCAAGGGUGAAACUCAAAAGAAUUGACGGGGGCCCGCACAAGCAGUGGAGCAUGUGGUUUAAUUCGAUGCAACGCGAAGAACCUUACCUGGGCUUGAAAAGCAGAGGACCGCGCCAGAAACGGCGCUUCCCGAAAGGGUCUCUGAAUAGGUGCUGCAUGGCUGUCGUCAGCUCGUGCCGUGAGGUGUUUGGUUAAGUCCAGCAACGAGCGCAACCCUUAUUGUUAGU
This 322-nucleotide ribosomal RNA is filed under the name uncultured bacterium. RNAcentral's name for it is "bacterial SSU rRNA". It matches the Rfam family "Bacterial small subunit ribosomal RNA", at positions 794 to 1115 of the family's 1533-position model. The record is from RNAcentral.